CGGUUGAUCCUGCCGGAGGCCACUGCUAUUGGAGUUCGAUUAAGCCAUGCGAGUUCAGGGGGGCUUUGCCCACCGGCGGACGGCUCAGUAACACGUGGACAACCUGCCCUCGGGAGGGGGAUAACCCCUGGAAACUGGGACCAAACCCCCAUAGGUCACAGAUGCUGGAAGGCACUGUGACUCAAAUUCCUUCGGGAGCCCGAGGAUGGGUCUGCGGCCUAUCAGGUUGUAGUUAGGGUAACGGCCUAACUAGCCUACGACGGGUACGGGGUGUGAGAGCACUAGCCCGGAGAUGGACUCUGGGACACGAGUCCAGGCCCUACGGGGCGCAGCAGGCGCGAAACCUCCGCAAUGCGGGCAACCGCGACGGGGGGACCCCCAGUGCCGUGGCAUCGCCACGGCUUUUCCGGAGUGUAAAGAGCUCCGGGAAUAAGGGCUGGGCAAGGCCGGUGGCAGCCGCCGCGGUAAUACCGGCGGCCCGAGUGGUGGCCGCUAUUAUUGGGCCUAAAGCGUCCGUAGCCGGGCCCGUAAGUCCCUGGCGAAAUCCCACGGCUCAACCGUGGGGCUUGCUGGGGAUACUGCAGGCCUUGGGACCGGGAGAGGCCGGGGGUACCCCUGGGGUAGGGGUGAAAU
RNAcentral lists this ribosomal RNA (633 nucleotides) under uncultured archaeon. RNAcentral describes it as "bacterial SSU rRNA". It matches the Rfam family "Archaeal small subunit ribosomal RNA", at positions 5 to 638 of the family's 1478-position model. The record is from RNAcentral.